CCUACGGGAGGCAGCAGUGGGGAAUAUUGGACAAUGGGGGGAACCCUGAUCCAGCGACGCCGCGUGAGUGAAGAAGUAUUUCGGUAUGUAAAGCUCUAUCAGCAGGGAAGAAAAUGACGGUACCUGACUAAGAAGCCCCGGCUAACUACGUGCCAGCAGCCGCGGUACUACGUAGGGGGCAAGCGUUAUCCGGAUUUACUGGGUGUAAAGGGAGCGUAGACGGUGCAGCAAGUCUGAUGUGAAAGGGCGGUACCCAACCCCGGGACUGCAUUGGAAACUGCUUAACUGGAGUACAGGAGGGGUGAGCGGAAUGCCUGGUGUAGCGGUGAACUGCGUAGAUAUUAGGCGGAACACCAGUGGCGAAGGCAGCUUACUGGACUGUAACUGACGUUGAUGCUCGAAAGCGUGGGGAGCAAACAGGAUUAGAUACCCCAGUAGUC
Molecule: ribosomal RNA, 440 nt
Filed under: uncultured bacterium
Lineage: Bacteria
Description: partial 16S ribosomal RNA
Rfam family: Bacterial small subunit ribosomal RNA
Source: RNAcentral